RNAcentral lists this ribosomal RNA (301 nucleotides) under uncultured bacterium. RNAcentral describes it as "partial 16S ribosomal RNA". It matches the Rfam family "Bacterial small subunit ribosomal RNA", at positions 509 to 807 of the family's 1533-position model. The record is from RNAcentral.
CAGCCGCCGCGGUAAUACGAAGGGUGCAAGCGUUAAUCGGAAUUACUAGGCGUAAAGCGUGCGUAGGCGGUGAGUUAAGUCUGCUGUGAAAUCCCCGGGCUCAACCUGGGAAUGGCAGUGGAUACUGGCUCGCUAGAGUGUGUCAGAGGAUGGUGGAAUUCCCGGUGUAGCGGUGAAAUGCGUAGAGAUCGGGAGGAACAUCAGUGGCGAAGGCGGCCAUCUGGGACAACACUGACGCUGAGGCACGAAAGCGUGGGGAGCAAACAGGAUUAGAUACCCGGGUAGUCCCUGUCUCUUAUAC